GGGAUUGUGGCUCAGUGGUAGAGCGUUCACCUAGCAUGUGAGAGGCCCUGGGUUCGAUUCUCAGCACCA
RNAcentral lists this transfer RNA (69 nucleotides) under Ictidomys tridecemlineatus (thirteen-lined ground squirrel). Its description in RNAcentral is "Spermophilus tridecemlineatus (thirteen-lined ground squirrel) tRNA". It matches the Rfam family "tRNA". From Rfam's summary of the family: Transfer RNA (tRNA) molecules are approximately 80 nucleotides in length. The record is from Rfam by way of RNAcentral. Lineage: Eukaryota; Metazoa; Chordata; Mammalia; Rodentia; Sciuridae.